This 497-nucleotide ribosomal RNA is filed under the name uncultured bacterium. RNAcentral's name for it is "partial 16S ribosomal RNA". It matches the Rfam family "Bacterial small subunit ribosomal RNA", at positions 28 to 507 of the family's 1533-position model. The record is from RNAcentral.
GAUGAACGCUGGCGGCGUGCCUAAUACAUGCAAGUCGAGCGAACAGACGAGGAGCUUGCUCCUCUGACGUUAGCGGCGGACGGGUGAGUAACACGUGGAUAACCUACCUAUAAGACUGGGAUAACUUCGGGAAACCGGAGCUAAUACCGGAUAAUAUAUUGAACCGCAUGGUUCAAUAGUGAACGACGGUUUUGCUGUCACUUAUAGAUGGAUCCGAGCCGCAUUAGCUAGUUGGUAAGGUAACGGCUUACCAAGGCAACGAUGCGUAGCCGACCUGAGAGGGUGAUCGGCCACACUGGAACUGAGACACGGUCCAGACUCCUACGGGAGGCAGCAGUAGGGAAUCUUCCGCAAUGGGCGAAAGCCUGACGGAGCAACGCCGCGUGAGUGAUGAAGGUCUUCGGAUCGUAAAACUCUGUUAUUAGGGAAGAACAAAUGUGUAAGUAACUAUGCACGUCUUGACGGUACCUAAUCAGAAAGCCACGGCUAACUACGUG